Molecule: ribosomal RNA, 159 nt
Filed under: Lepraria pacifica
Lineage: Eukaryota; Fungi; Ascomycota; Lecanoromycetes; Lecanorales; Stereocaulaceae
Also listed under: 1 other name
Description: 5.8S ribosomal RNA
Rfam family: 5.8S ribosomal RNA
About the family: 5.8S ribosomal RNA (5.8S rRNA) is a component of the large subunit of the eukaryotic ribosome. It is transcribed by RNA polymerase I as part of the 45S precursor that also contains 18S and 28S rRNA. Functionally, it is thought that 5.8S rRNA may be involved in ribosome translocation.
Source: RNAcentral
AAACUUUCAACAACGGAUCUCUUGGUUCUGGCAUCGAUGAAGAACGCAGCGAAAUGCGAUAAGUAAUGUGAAUUGCAGAAUUCAGUGAAUCAUCGAAUCUUUGAACGCACAUUGCGCCCCUCGGAAUUCCGGGGGGCAUGCCUGUUCGAGCGUCAUUGC